This 484-nucleotide ribosomal RNA is filed under the name Candidatus Phytoplasma pini. Its description in RNAcentral is "bacterial SSU rRNA". It matches the Rfam family "Bacterial small subunit ribosomal RNA", at positions 270 to 752 of the family's 1533-position model. Lineage: Bacteria; Bacillati; Mycoplasmatota; Mollicutes; Acholeplasmatales; Acholeplasmataceae. The record is from RNAcentral.
AAGACGAUGAUAUGUAGCUGGACUGAGAGGUUGAACGGCCACAUUGGGACUGAGACACGGCCCAAACUCCCACGGGAGGCAGCAGUAGGGAAUUUUCGGCAAUGGAGGAAACUCUGACCGAGCAACGUCGCGUGAACGAUGAAGUAUUUCGGUAUGUAAAGUUCUUUCAUUGAAGAAGAAAAAAUAGUGGAAAAACUAUCUUGACGCUAUUCAAUGAAUAAGCCCUGGCUAAUUAUGUGCCAGCAGCCGCGGUAAUACAUAAAGGGCGAGCGUUAUCCGGAAUUAUUGGGCGUAAAGGGUGCGUAGGCGGUUUGUUAAGUCUUUAGUUUAAUCUCAGUGCUUAACGCUGUUCUGCUAGAGAAACUGACUUACUAGAGUGAGAUAGAGGCAAGUGGAAUUCCAUGUGUCAGCGGUAAAAUGCGUAAAUAUAUGGAGGAACACCAGAGGCGUAGGCGGCUUGCUGGGUCUUUACUGACGCUGAGGC